RNAcentral lists this ribosomal RNA (481 nucleotides) under uncultured soil bacterium. Its description in RNAcentral is "bacterial SSU rRNA". It matches the Rfam family "Bacterial small subunit ribosomal RNA", at positions 26 to 506 of the family's 1533-position model. The record is from RNAcentral.
AGAUUGAACGCUGGCGGCAGGCCUAACACAUGCAAGUCGAGCGGCAGCACGGGUACUUGUACCUGGUGGCGAGCGGCGGACGGGUGAGUAAUGCCUAGGAAUCUGCCUGGUAGUGGGGGAUAACGCUCGGAAACGGACGCUAAUACCGCAUACGUCCUACGGGAGAAAGCAGGGGACCUUCGGGCCUUGCGCUAUCAGAUGAGCCUAGGUCGGAUUAGCUAGUUGGUGAGGUAAUGGCUCACCAAGGCGACGAUCCGUAACUGGUCUGAGAGGAUGAUCAGUCACACUGGAACUGAGACACGGUCCAGACUCCUACGGGAGGCAGCAGUGGGGAAUAUUGGGACAAUGGGCGAAAGCCUGAUCCAGCCAUGCCGCGUGUGUGAAGAAGGUCUUCGGAUUGUAAAGCACUUUAAGUGGAGAAGGCAGUUACCUAAUACGUAUCUGUUUGACGUUACGACAGAAUAGCACCGGCUAACUCUGU